This 175-nucleotide ribosomal RNA is filed under the name uncultured bacterium. Its description in RNAcentral is "partial 16S ribosomal RNA". It matches the Rfam family "Bacterial small subunit ribosomal RNA", at positions 335 to 526 of the family's 1533-position model. The record is from RNAcentral.
ACUCCUACGGGAGGCAGCAGUAGGGAAUUUUGCGCAAUGGGCGAAAGCCUGACGCAGCAACGCCGCGUGUGUGACGAAGCCCUUCGGGGUGUAAAACACUGUCAGUGGGGACGAAUUUUGACGGUACCCACAGAGGAAGCACCGGCUAACUCCGUGCCAGCAGCCGCGGUAAUAC